AUGAAUCGAAUACCUCCAUGUUCGUACCAAACAAGUCAAUACUUGAACCUGCAGAUUCUGUUGCCACCAACACAGGUUAUGAUGUUGAGAAGAUGGAUAGAGGCAAAUCAGACGAACAAUGAAAAAUUGAGGCCAAGGAGAUGGCUGCCGAACGGAAGCGUUUUGCCAUGUAUGUUGAUGCCUGGGAAGGGACAUGGGGGGGGUUCUGAUGGGUUCGGUUGCUUCCGAGACAUGACGGCAGUGAGUUCCAUGCAAUACACACACUUGAUACCAGGGAGCACCCCGUUGCACUAUGGUCGAGUCGGGCCUAGCCUGCAGAUCUUCUCUGUCAAACUCGCAGAAAUACGAGGUGGUCUGGAAUGGCCGUUGCCAGUGUACGGCACGGUCGCUGCCCGAGACCAUGUGGAUCACAAUCGCAACCUUCUGUUUGCCCGCAACAGGAGUGAGUGCCAGACACUCAAUGAAGAGGAUUCCUUUUUGACCUUGACUGGCCCCUCUCGUGCAAUUGUCAGCGAGGAAUCUGUUGUCCUGGAAAUCCAACUAAAAGUAAGAGGUAGAACCAAGUCUCAAGAUAAGCCACUGAUGAAUGGCGUGUGCAGUUACUACAGCAGAAGAGAAGGCCCCGUUUGCUUUAGGAACUGCUUUUGCACCCUAGAGUUAAGUUUGGAGGGACUUCAGAAAACAGUCCAGGCGACUAUUUUGGGCGUCCGUGUCAAAGAGGAGGGGUCAUGGCCUAAAGCAUUCGGAGGUCGAGUUGCUUGCUCAGUCACUGGACCUGACGCCAGUCCUCAGGAAAUUGAGCUGCUUGAUUCUCGUUAUACAGCCAUGCCGAUGACUUCUCAGGGUUACCUUGUUCUAUCAAGGAAUGUUGUCUCUGUAGACUAUCAUGGAAGCCUGAAUUUUGUCUUGGAAGCCUACUCAGAUUCCGGUAAUAAAGUUGCACAAAAAAAUGAGACCUUCGAGCCCAAGUUUUCCAACAUAAGCCAGCAAACAUGUAUACUCACUGGAGGCAUUGAGUUGGAGAUUACUGUUGCAUGGUCCAGUCUGGUUUCUGAGAAGUGGGACAUCUCGGUACAAGGAUGUGUAGUAUUAUAA
RNAcentral lists this ribosomal RNA (1095 nucleotides) under Triticum aestivum (bread wheat). RNAcentral's name for it is "partial small subunit ribosomal RNA". Lineage: Eukaryota; Viridiplantae; Streptophyta; Magnoliopsida; Poales; Poaceae. The record is from RNAcentral.